RNAcentral lists this ribosomal RNA (465 nucleotides) under uncultured bacterium. RNAcentral describes it as "partial 16S ribosomal RNA". It matches the Rfam family "Bacterial small subunit ribosomal RNA", at positions 29 to 507 of the family's 1533-position model. The record is from RNAcentral.
ACGAACGCUGGCGGCGUGCUUAACACAUGCAAGUCGAACGGAAAGGCCCUGCUUGCAGGGUACUCGAGUGGCGAACGGGUGAGUAACACGUGGGUGAUCUGCCCUGCACCUCGGGAUAAGCCUGGGAAACUGGGUCUAAUACCGGAUAGGAGCCAUUUUUAGUGUGAUGGUUGGAAAGUUUUUUUCGGUGUAGGAUGAGCUCGCGGCCUAUCAGCUUGUUGGUGGGGUAAUGGCCUACCAAGGCGGCGACGGGUAGCCGGCCUGAGAGGGUGGACGGCCACAUUGGGACUGAGAGACGGCCCAGACUCCUACGGGAGGCAGCAGUGGGGAAUAUUGCACAAUGGGCGCAAGCCUGAUGCAGCGACGCCGCGUGGGGGAUGACGGCCUUCGGGUUGUAAACUCCUUUCGCUAGGGACGAAGCUUUUUGUGACGGUACCUAGAGAAGAAGCACCGGCUAACUACGUG